This is a long non-coding RNA of Mauremys mutica (yellowpond turtle), 997 nucleotides long. RefSeq lists it as uncharacterized. The transcript has 4 exons. Lineage: Eukaryota; Metazoa; Chordata; Testudines; Geoemydidae. The record is from RefSeq and is a predicted model, not a curated record.
GUGACGGGACAAGGCGCUCGAUGUGGGGAGCGAGGGAGGCGGAGACCCGCAGGGGGAAGGCACCGAGGGCGAGAAGGGAGAGGGAGCGAGUGCUUCUGUCACAGCAGCUAGCGGGGGUUCCCACUAAGCCAGACAGCCAUUUUGGGCCCCAGAUUUUUAGAGGGGGGCGCGGGGUCCUCUCCUCCUCCUCCUCCAGCAGCUGCUUCUUCCGUUGUUGACACAACUAAAAGUCAACAACAUCAUCAUCCUUCCCGCCCCACUCCGCUGCUGUGCGCGUACCUUGGGAGCUGCGGAGGCUUCUCCCUCUGUCUCUAGCCUGUGGGGCAAGAGACUGUGUGGCAUCCGCUGCUGAGGGGGAGGAGGCAGAUAAGCGUGUGGAAAGUUCCUCCUUUGUUUUUGCUGAAGCUUCUGCUGCUGCGUUUCUUGUACGAAGCCCGCUGUUCAUACACAGAACAGGGGUUCUCAAACUUCAUUGCUGGCGAUCUACCAAAAGAUUAGACCAAAAAUUAGACAACUGCUAAAUAGAGUGCCUACGAAAAGAUCCUGGGCAUUGGAUGGAAAGACUUAAUUACCAACAAAGAUCCAAGAAAUGACCAUCCAGCAGCUUGCCUCCACUAGAAUCAAAAGUUUAUCUCUAGUAUCUGAUCUGGCAAUUAGACUGGAUAAAUGGAGUUCUACUGUAUUUGGGGCCUGUACUCUGGAUGCCAACAGAGAGAUAUUACCAUAUAAAGUCAUCAAGUGGAAGCCAACUGGUGUGAGGAAACAAAGGCACCCAAAAGAAACCUUAAGAACCCCCCUUUGUUGGGAGAGAUUGAUCUCAACACCAUACAACAGAUGGAAGCAACAGCAAAUUACAGAGAAGAAUGGAAGAUACUAAUGUUGGUGCACAUUACAGAAAUUGAUUCAGGAAGGAUGUGAAAACCCAAAUCAAAACAAACCCCACCUCUUGAUCAUUUUUGCUUGUCUCUUAUACUGAUUAAACAGCUUGAGCCAGAUU